AGAGUUUGAUCCUGGCUCAGGACGAACGCUGGCGGCGUGCUUAACACAUGCAAGUCGAGCGGAAUCCAUCCCGUGGCAACACGGGUGAAGAUUCAGCGGCGAACGGGUGAGUAACACGUGAGGAACCUGCCCCGAAGACCGGGAUAACCCUCCGAAAGGAGAGCUAAUACCGGAUGCCCUCCCUUGGUCGCAUGGCCGAGAGAGGAAAUGGAUUCCGCUUCGGGAGGGCCUCGCGGCCUAUCAGCUUGUUGGUGAGGUAACGGCUCACCAAGGCGUCGACGGGUAGCUGGUCUGAGAGGACGAUCAGCCACACUGGGACUGAGACACGGCCCAGACUCCUACGGGAGGCAGCAGUGGGGAAUCUUGCGCAAUGGGCGAAAGCCUGACGCAGCAACGCCGCGUGGGGGAUGAAGGCUUUCGGGUUGUAAACCCCUUUCAGCAGGGACGAUUGUGACGGUACCUGCAGAAGAG
RNAcentral lists this ribosomal RNA (471 nucleotides) under uncultured Acidimicrobiales bacterium. Its description in RNAcentral is "bacterial SSU rRNA". It matches the Rfam family "Bacterial small subunit ribosomal RNA", at positions 8 to 489 of the family's 1533-position model. The record is from RNAcentral. Lineage: Bacteria; Bacillati; Actinomycetota; Acidimicrobiia; Acidimicrobiales.